GAUGAGCGCUGGCGGCGUGCCUAAUACAUGCAAGUCGAGCGAACAGACGAGGAGCUUGCUCCUCUGACGUUAGCGGCGGACGGGUGAGUAACACGUGGAUAACCUACCUAUAAGACUGGGAUAACUUCGGGAAACCGGAUCUAAUACCGGAUAAUAUAUUGAACCGCAUGGUUCAAUAGUGAAAGACGGUUUUGCUGUCACUUAUAGAUGGAUCCGCGCCGCAUUAGCUAGUUGGUAAGGUAACGGCUUACCAAGGCAACGAUGCGUAGCCGACCUGAGAGGGUGAUCGGCCACACUGGAACUGAGACACGGUCCAGACUCCUACGGGAGGCAGCAGUAGGGAAUCUUCCGCAAUGGGCGAAAGCCUGACGGAGCAACGCCGCGUGAGUGAUGAAGGUCUUCGGAUCGUAAAACUCUGUUAUUAGGGAAGAACAAAUGUGUAAGUAACUAUGCACGUCUUGACGGUACCUAAUCAGAAAGCCACGGCUAACUACGUG
RNAcentral lists this ribosomal RNA (497 nucleotides) under uncultured bacterium. RNAcentral's name for it is "partial 16S ribosomal RNA". It matches the Rfam family "Bacterial small subunit ribosomal RNA", at positions 28 to 507 of the family's 1533-position model. The record is from RNAcentral.